RNAcentral lists this transfer RNA (529 nucleotides) under uncultured cyanobacterium. Its description in RNAcentral is "partial 16S-23S intergenic spacer". The stretch from base 203 to 275 matches the Rfam family "tRNA". Lineage: Bacteria; Bacillati; Cyanobacteriota. The record is from RNAcentral.
AGACAACAAAAUGUUUAAUAAUUAAUUUUGUCACCUUAGGUCGAUCGGUAUCUCACAUCCUUUAAUGAAGGAUUUCAUUUCCUAAGUUUUUCUAGGUCACACCCAUUACUUUUCCUGGGCCAUUAGCUCAGGUGGUUAGAGCGCACCCCUGAUAAGGGUGAGGUCCCUGGUUCAAGUCCAGGAUGGCCCAUAUCUCUAUGUUGGGGGUAUAGCUCAGUUGGUAGAGCGCCUGCUUUGCAAGCAGGAUGUCAGCGGUUCGAGUCCGCUUACCUCCACUGAUUACCACCUCUUCCAUAUGAUUGGGAAAUGUUUUGAGUUGUGAUCAUGUUCUGAACGAAUCUAGCUUCCUAAUAGAAACUAUUAAGAUGCUGGACUCAUUGAAUUAAUUUCAUUGUUUUCAGAGAACCUUGACAACUGCAUAGAUUAUUUUUUAAAGACAAUAAGCAUCUUUAAUGAUGCAGAUUUAUUAUUUGUGCAAAUGCAUUAAUAACAAUUCUAUUAAGCUGAUGCUUCAAUUUUUGAAGUUAUU